This is a long non-coding RNA of Etheostoma spectabile (orangethroat darter), 98 nucleotides long. RefSeq lists it as uncharacterized. The transcript has 3 exons. The record is from RefSeq and is a predicted model, not a curated record. NCBI's taxonomy places the organism in Eukaryota, Metazoa, Chordata, Actinopteri, Perciformes, Percidae.
AGACUUUUAAAAAUUUUGAAAAAGUUUUGUGUUAAAUGGAUUUUUGGUGAUGUUGAAAUGGAUUUUUAAAACUUAUGGUAUUGAAAAAAGUAUCGUUA